CCUGACCCACCGUAUCGGGUCAUUUUCUAACUGCGAACGAUAACUUCGCUGGGGAAUACGCCGUCGCCGCGUAAUGCGGUUCCGGUAAUUCCGAACUAAGUCCUGGGGGUUCAGAUCCUGGGGCGGGGCUCGGAGGGCGCCUGGCAACAGAAGCCCUCCACU
Molecule: transfer-messenger RNA, 162 nt
Filed under: Brevundimonas sp.
Lineage: Bacteria; Pseudomonadati; Pseudomonadota; Alphaproteobacteria; Caulobacterales; Caulobacteraceae
Description: partial transfer-messenger RNA
Rfam family: Alphaproteobacteria transfer-messenger RNA
About the family: Bacterial tmRNA, also known as 10Sa RNA or SsrA, is named for its dual tRNA and mRNA-like properties. Its role is to liberate the mRNA from a stalled ribosome.
Source: RNAcentral